CCUCACUGGCCUCCAAGUUUUCUAGGAUGAUGCAAUGUCCAGCCAUCAACACAUUUGUGAAGGAAUUUUUACUCCCCAAAAGAGCGCCCCCCCAUGGCAGGAGAAAAAAGUCAAUUUUUUCUUGUCCUAUAAGGUGAAAAUACACAUUGUUGAGUGUCACGCCUGUACGCUUUGUCAUAUUGAAACAAAAAUUGACAAUCAUGUGUAUCUCAAUUAGAUCUACGAAAAAGUCAAAGAGCGCGUAUCUGUAUAAUGUACGGUUAAAGGGCUAUUUUGCAUUUUUUGCCGAUUCGCACACAUUGGCAUGUGGCUAUCUCCUCCUAAGGCUUUCGUCCCACCGAUACCAAAUUUGCUCAGGGCAAUCUACACCCCAUGCCCAUUCAAAGUUGUAAAAAUCAUGACGCUGCACCCCACGGUUUACGUUCUAGGGGGCGCCAAAGAUGACCCAAAAAUCCACAUUCUUAAAAGUCAUUUUGGCCACUGCAGGAGUACAGAGUACUGCAGUUCUAGGGGGCGCCAAAGACGACCCAAAAAUCCACAUUCUUAAAAGUCUUUUUGGCCACUGCAGGAGUACAGAGUACUGCAGGAUACACACACAUAUACACACACGCCAACAUACACACACACACACACACACACACACACACACACACACACAGACACACACACACACUCAGAGUCUGUUUUUUAGCACCUGCAAAAACAUGCUGUUUACAUAUUUGACAAGAAUGCAGAGGCUUCCUUUUGCCCCUGAAAAAAAUCAAAUUUCAAACACAACUUGACUGUUCAUUUCUCCAAAAGACAACCAUGAAGCUCCAUUUCAAACCUGAAGCAGAUAGUUGGUGCAUGUGUACAGUAACCUGAGGGGAGUGAGGUGACUAUUUCUGAGGAGAACAUGAGCAGUGAAGAUUCACCUUGGAGCUAGAACAGGGACGUGCACAUGAUUAUACAGGGGCAGGGGCUCAAGUUUUUUCCAGUCAUUUAUACAAUAUGGAAAUUAAUGUGAAAUUAAACCACAAAUAUGUGUGAUGAACUGUUUUUAAAACUUAAACUUCAAAUAAAAAUUGUAAACUUCAAAACAUAUGCAAAUUUUUAACAAAGAACAUAGUAAUUUACCUCUAUUUACAUCAAAAUGCAGGCAAUGGCCCAGGCGUUCUUUGUAAAAUUAUUUACAAAACACUGUAUAGUCUCACAAAUGUCACUUUUUAUUUAUGCCACUACAAAAAAACAUGAUGUAAAUGAUGCAUGAUGUAAAACAUGAUGUAAAAAACUUGUGUAGAUCCUCCUCUAUGUUAGUCCAUGUGUAAUUUUUCCAUAAUUCUUUGUUUUUUGCAGCAUUUUUGUUAGUGUAACUGCAGAUUGUGCUGACUGUCUAUGGCAAAAAAAAAAAAAACUGAAAAUGCCUCAACAUGAACCCCUGGUGGUCUCUGAGGGUGAAACCUGCUAACUGCUGCAGCUCUGUCAGCUUCAGUCUCCCAUGCAGAGCUCUGAGCGCAUGUGUGGCUCUGCACCCUUAGCAGCGUUGCUAACUCCUCAGUAAGGAAAGCCUGCUUCAUGUCAGAGUCUCUAAACUCCAGAAGAAGUCGAUAAAAGUCCCUUUCUUUCUAAAAAAAAGUCGUUAGGGUGUCUGAAAAGUCAUUGAAUCUAACAACAAAGUCGCUAGGUUUGCAACUACGUGUCCCAGACUGCAUCCCUGCUGAGAGUCCCUCCCUCCCUUCUCAUGUUGCAGGAAGAACGUAAGCGCCCGCCCCUUGUCAAUCAGUCACCAUAUAAUUUUGGAUUGGUUGUUGUGGUGAAGUUUUCCACCAAUAGGAGAGAUGUUGUGGUGUGUUUUUUUUUUCUUUUGGCAAGCCUUUUCCGCCUGUAAGACCUGUCGCUAAUGUCUGCAUGCUAUGUUUUCCUGUCUCAUACAGCGCGAUCGAGCGCCGAACGUGAUCAAAAUAAGCAGAAAAAAAGUAUCGCGGACAUAAUUUAUCAUAACUCUGGUUUUAUUUGGCCUAUCAACACAAUUUAAAAACUGGUAUAUAGGUUGAGGUCCUCACUUUUGAGAUAAGUUGAAACGGAGAGUCAACGAGGCUCCGUCUUGCAGCUACAUCCGGUUAAAUAUGUCAUGUGACUUGAACGCACACAUAGACACACACACACACACACACACACACACACACACACACACACACACACACACACACACACACUCAGAGUCUGGUUUUUAGCACCUGCAAAAACAUGCUAUUUACAUAUUUGACAAGAAUGCAGAGGCUCCUUUUGCCCCUGAAAAAAAUCAAAUUUCAAACACAACUUGACUGCUCAUUUCUCCAAAAGACAACCAUGAAGCUCCAUCCAAACCUGAAGCAGGCAGUUGGUGCAUGUGUACAGUAACCUGAGGGGAGUGAGGUGAGUGCUUCUGAGGAGAACAUGAGCAGUGAAGAUUCACCUUGGAGCUAGAACAGAGACAUGCACAUGAUUAUACAGGGGCAGGGGCUCAAGUUUUUUCCAGUCGUUUAUACAAUAUGGAAAUUAAUGUGAAAUUAAAACACAAAGUAUUAAUAGAAAGGUAAUGACUGUCCUGUGUAGGUGACAGUGAUAUCCAAUAGGCUAGGCACUCACGAGGCUGGCUGUGGCAAGUGUAAGUGAAAGCAACACGCACUGGCAGGAAGAACAGCAAACGCCGAUGAAGGAAAAGGGUCUUUGCAGUGAUGGGCGUUACCAGAGAGGGCGAUGGCCAGAGGACACAAAUGGGACGGGGAGGCAGCACGUUGGGGGGGGGGGACGCGACACGGCUCGGGCCCGCCAGUGCCCCAACGGGGUCCUAGUCUUUGUUUCUUUCUUUCUUUCUUUAGGGCCCGAGCGUAGCUGCUAAGCAGCUGCGAGAGCCCUAUUAUUCCUGAUGGAUUCUUCUUUCUUCUUCUUCUUAUUAUUAUUUUUCUGCCCCUUUGAACUGGAAAAUGGCCCACUUCCCACUGGUGAAAAGUCAUGAAAUUUGGCAGGACGACCGGGCCUGGUGAAAAAUUCGAUAUUCUGAAGUCGCCCAAAAAAUCAAAUGCAAAAUGGCUCCAUAGCGCCCCCUAAGGUGAAAAAUUCACAUGAUUGAGUGUCACGCCUGUACGCUUUGUCAAAAUGACACAAAAUUUGACACACACGUGUAUCUCAAUAAGAUCUACAAAAAAGUCAGUGCGGGCGUAUCUGUCAAAUGUACGGUUAAAGGGCUAUUUCGCAUUUUUUGCCGAUCCGCACACAUUGGAAUUUCGCUAACUCCUCCGAAGGCUUUCGUUCCACCGGCACCAAAUUUGCUCAGGCCAAUCUACACCCCAUGGCCAUUAAAAGUUGUACAAAUCAUGACGCUGCAUCCCACGGUUUACGUUCUAGGGGGCUCCAAAGAUAACCCAGAAAUCCACAUUCUUAAAAGUCGUAUAACUUUUUAUUUUUGUCCUCACUGGCCUCCAAGUUUUCUAGGAUGAUGCAAUGUCCAGCCAUCAACACAUUUGUGAAGGAAUUUUUACUCCCCAAAAGAGCGCCCCCCCAUGGCAGGAGAAAAAAGUCCAUUUUUUCUUGUCUCCUAAGGCGAAAAUUCACACUAUUGACUGUCACGCCUUUACGCUUUGUCAUAUUGACACAAAAAUUGACACACACAUGUAUCUCAAUAAGAUCUACAAAAAAGUCAGUGCGGGCGUAUCUGUCAAAUGUACGGUGAAAGGGCUAUUUCGCAUUUUUUGCCGAUCCGCACACAUUGGAAUUUCGCUAACUCCUCCGAAGGCUUUCGUUCCAAAGGCACCACAUUUGCUGAGGCCAAUCUACACCCCAUGGCCAUUAAAAGUUGUACAAAUCAUGACGCUGCACCCCACGGUUUACGUUCUAGGGGGCGCCAAAGAUAACCCAAAAAUCCACAGUCUUAAAAGUCUUAUAACUUUUUAUUUUUGUCCUCACUGGCCUCCAAGUUCUCUAGGAUGAUGCAAUGUCCAGCCAUCAACACAUUUGUGAAGGAAUUUUUACUCGCCAAAAGAGCGCCCCCCCCAUGGCAGGAGAAAAAAGUCCAUUUUUUCUUGUCUCCUAAGGCGAAAAUACACAUUGUUGACUGUCACGCCUUUACGCUUUGUCAAAAUGACACAAAAUUUGACACACACAUGUAUCUCAAUAAGAUCUACAAAAAAGUCAGUGCGGGCGUAUCUGUCAAAUGUACGGUUAAAGGGUUAUUUCGCAUUUUUUGCCGAUCCGCACACAUUGGAAUUUCGCUAACUCCUCCUAAAUCUUUUGUCCCAUCGGCUUCAAAUUUGCUCAGGUCAAUCUACACCCCAUGGCCAUUCAAAGUUGUACAAAUCAUGACGCUGCACCCCACAGUUUACGUUCUAGGGGGCGCCAAAGAGGACCCAAAUAUCCACAUUUUUAAAAGUCUUAUAACUUUUUAUUUUUGUCCUCACUGGCCUCCAAGUUUUCUAGGAUGAUGCAAUGUCCAGCCAUCAACACAUUUGUGAAGGAAUUUUUUCUCCCCAAAAGAGCGCCCCCCCAUGGCAGGAGAAAAAGUCAAGUUUUUCCUGCCCAUCGCUCAAUGGCUCAAACGCAUCGCUCUCUCUGCAAAACCGAAAGGAGGAGCAACUUGCCAUUUGGAUAUAUACUAGCUGUGUUUGUGCCCUCACUCAUGGUCCAGACUUUUUUCAAAUAGGACAUGUAGUUUGUCUGCAGCGAGCGUUUUGGUAGAAACUGCGCCUCCCAUUCAUUAUAAUGGGAAAUGACCACAGACAAGUGCGCACACCAUCUUUGGACCUUGAGUGUGACGCGAUCGGGAGGGGGAGGCGGUCGCGCUGGGGGCGGCGCGACGCGGCUCGGGCCCGACAGUGCCCCACCGGGGCCCUAGUUAUUUUUCCUCCGCUUUAAACUGGAAAAUGGCCCACUUCCCACUGGCGAAAACUCAUGAAAUUUGGCAGGACGACCGGGCCUGGUGAAAAAUUUGAUAUUCCGAAGUCGCCCAAACAAGAAAAUGCAAAAUGGCUCCAUAGCGCCCCCUAAGGUGAAAAUUCACAUGACGGCUGUACGCUUUGUCAUAUUGACACAAAAAUUGACACACACAUGUAUCUCAAUAAGAUCUACAAAAAAGUCAGUGCAGGCGUAUCUGUCAAAUGUACGGUUAAUGGGUUAUUUUGCAUUGUUUGCAGAUCUGCACACAUUGGAAUUUCGCUAACUCCUCCGAAGGCUUUCGUUCGACCGGCACCACAUUUGCGCAGGCCAAUCUACCCCCCAUGGCCAUUAAAAGUUGUACAAAUCAUGACGCUGCACCCCACGGUUUACGUUCUAGGGGGCGCCAAAGAUAACCCAAAAUCCACAUUCUUAAAAGUCUUAUAACUUUUUAUUUUUGUCCUCACUGCCCUCCAAGUUUUCUAGGAUGAUGCAAUGUCCAGCCAUCAACACAUUUGUGAAGGAAUUUUUACUCCCCAAAAGAGCGCCCCCCCAUGGCAGGAGAAAAAAGUCAAUUUUUUCUUGUCCCCUUACAUGAAAAUACACAUUGUUGAGUGUCACGCCUGAACGCUUUGUCAUAUUGACACAAAAAUUGACAAUCAUGUGUAUCUCAAUUAGAUCUACGAAAAAGUCAAAAAGCGCGUAUCUGUAUAAUGUACGGUUAAAGGGCUAUUUCGCAUUUUUUGCCGAUUCGCACACAUUGGAAUGUGGCUAUCUCCUCCUAAGGCUUUCGUCCCACCGAUACCAAAUUUGCUCAGGGCAAUCUACACCCCAUGCCCAUUCAAAGUUGUAAAAAUCAUGACGCUGCACCCCAAGGUUUACGUUCUAGGGGACGCCAAAGAUGACCCAAAAAUCCACAUUCUUAAAAGUCAUUUUGGCCACUGCAGGAGUACAGAGUACUGCAGUUCUAGGGGGCGCCAAAGAUGACCCAAAAAUCCACAUUCUUAAAAGUCUUUUUGGCCACUGCAGGAGUACAGAGUACUGCAGGAUACACACACAUAUACACACACACACACACACACACACACACACACACACACACACACACACACACACACACACACACACUCAGAGUCUGUUUUUUAGCACCUGCAAAAACAUGCUGUUUACAUAUUUGACAAGAAUGCAGAGGCUUCCUUUUGCCCCUGAAAAAAAUCAGAUUUCAAACACAACUUGACUGUUCAUUUCUCCAAAAGACAACCAUGAAGCUCCAUCCAAACCUGAAGCAGAUAGUUGGUGCAUGUGUACAGUAACCUGAGGGGAGUGAGGUGACUAUUUCUGAGGAGAACAUGAGCAGUGAAGAUUCACCUUGGAGCUAGAACAGGGACGUGCACAUGAUUAUACAGGGGCAGGGGCUCAAGUUUUUUCCAGUCAUUUAUACAAUAUGGAAAUUAAUGUGAAAUUAAACCACAAAUAUGUGUGAUGAACUGUUUUUAAAACUUAAACUUCAAAUAAAAAUUGUAAACUUCAAAACAUAUGCAAAUUUUUAACAAAGAACAUAGUAAUUUACCUCUAUUGACAUCAAAAUGCAGGCAAUGGCCCAGGCGUUUUUGUAAAAUUAUUUACAAAACACUGUAUAGUCUCACAAAUGUCACUUUUUAUUUAUGCCACUACAAAAAAACAUGAUGUAAAUGAUGCAUGCAUGUCUCCCAUGCAGAGCUCGGAGCGCAUGUGUGGCUCUGCACCCUUAGCAGCGUUACUAACUCCUCAGUAAGGAAAGCCUGCUUCAUGUCAGAGUCUCUAAACUCCAGAAGAAGUCGAUAAAAGUCCCUUUCUUUCUAAAAAAAAGUCGUUAGGGGGUCUGAAAAGUCAUUGAAUCUAACAACAAAGUCGCUAGGUUUGCAACUACGUGUCCCAGACUGCAUCCCUGCUGAGAGUCCCUCCCUCGCUUCUCAUGUUGCAGGAAGAACGUAAGCGCCCUCCCCUUGUCAAUCAGUCACCAUAUAAUUUUGGAUUGGUUGUUGUGGUGAAGUUUUCCACCAAUAGGAGAGAUGUUGUGGUGUGUUUUUUUUUUCUUUUGGCAAGCCUUUUCCGCCUGUAAGACCUGUCGCUAAUGUCUGCAUGCUAUGUUUUCCUGUCUCAUACAGCGCGAUCGAGCGCCGAACGUGAUCAAAAUAAGCAGAAAAAAAGUAUCGCGGACAUAAUUUAUCAUAACUCUGGUUUUAUUUGGCCUAUCAACACAAUUUAAAAACUGGUAUAUAGGUUGAGGUCCUCACUUUUGAGAUAAGUUGAAAUGGAGAGUCAACGAGGCUCCGUCUUGCAGCUACAUCCGGUUAAAUAUGUCAUGUGACUUGAACGCACACACAGACACACACACACGCACGCACACACACACACACACACACACACACACACACACACACACACACACUCAGAGUCUGGUUUUUAGCACCUGCAAAAACAUGCUAUUUACAUAUUUGACAAGAAUGCAGAGGCUCCUUUUGCCCCUGAAAAAAAUCAAAUUUCAAACACAACUUGACUGGUCAUUUCUCCAAAAGACAACCAUGAAGCUCCAUCCAAACCUGAAGCAGGCAGUUGGUGCAUGUGUACAGUAACCUGAGGGGAGUGAGGUGAGUGCUUCUGAGGAGAACAUGAGCAGUGAAGAUUCACCUUAGAGCUAGAACAGAGACGUGCACAUGAUUAUACAGGGGCAGGGGCUCAAGUUUUUUCCAGUCGUUUAUACAAUAUGGAAAUUAAUGUGAAAUUAAAACACAAAGUAUUAAUAGAAAGGUAAUGACUGUCCUGUGUAGGUGACAGUGAUAUCCAAUAGGCUAGGCACUCACGAGGCUGGCUGUGGCAAGUGUAAGUGAAAGCAACACGCACUGGCAGGAAGAACAGCAAACGCAGAUGAAGGAAAAGGGUCUUUGCAGUGAUGGGCGUUACCAGAGAGGGCGAUGGCCAGAGGACACAAAUGGGACGGGGAGGCAGCACGUUGGGGGGGGGGACGCGACACGGCUCGGGCCCGCCAGUGCCCCAACGGGGUCCUAGUUAGGGCCCGAGCGUAGCUGCUAAGCAGCUGCGAGAGCCCUCUUGUUCCUGUAGUUUCCUUCUUUUGUUAUUAUUAUUAGGGCCCGAGCCAGAUGCAGAGCAGCCGGGCGUAGGCCCUGUUAUUCCUGUAGGGGUUUUUUAGGGCCCGAGCGUAGCUGCUAAGCAGCUGCGAGAGCCCUCUUGUUCCUGUAGUUUCCUUCUUUUGUUAUUAUUAGGGCCCGAGCGUAGCUGCUAAGCAGCUGCGAGAGCCCUCUUGUUCCUGAUGGAUUCUUCUUUCGUUAUUUUUCCUCCGCUUUAAACUGGAAAAUGGCCCACUUCCCACUGGCGAAAACUCAGGAAAUUUGGCAGGACGACCGGGCCUGGUGAAAAAUUUGAUAUUCUGAAGUCGUCCAAACAAAAAAAUGAAAAAUGGCUCCAUAGCGCCCCCUAUGGUGAAAACUCACCUGAUGCCUGUACGCUUUGUCAAAAUGACACAAAAUUUGACACACAUGUGUAUCUCAAUAAGAUCUACGAAAAAGUCAGUGCGGGCGUAUCUGCCAAAUGUACGGUUAAAGGGCUAUUUCGCUUUUUUUGCCGAUCCGCACACAUUGGAAUUUCGCUAACUCCUCCGAAGGCUUUCGUUCCACCGGCACCAAGUUUGCUCAGGCCAAUCUACACCCCAUGGCCAUUAAAAGUUGUACAAAUCAUGAUGCUGCACCCCACGGUUUACUUUCUAGGGGGCGCCAAAGAUAACCCAAAAAUCCACAUUCUUAAAAGUCUUAUAACUUUUUAUUUUUGUCCUCACUGGCCUCCAAGUUUUCUAGGAUGAUGCAAUGUCCAGCCAUCAACACAUUUGUGAAGGAAUUUUUACUCCCCAAAAGAGCGCCCCCCCAUGGCAGGAGAAAAAAGUCCAUUUUUUCUUGUCUCCUAAGGUAAAAAUACACAUUGUUGAGUGUCACGCCUAUACACUUUGUCAUAUUGACACACAAUUUGACAAUCACGUGUAUCUCAAUAAGAUCUACAAAAAAGUCAAUAGGCACGUAUCUGUCAAAUGUAUGGUUAAAGGGCUAUUUCGCAUUUUUUGCCGAUUCGCACACAUUGGAAUGUGGCUAACUCCUCCUAAGGCUUUCGUCCCACCGAUACCAAAUUUGCUCAGGGCAAUCCACACCCCAUGGCCAUUCAAAGUUGUAAAAAUCAUGACGCUGCACCCCACGGUUUACGUUCUAGGGGGCGCCAAAGAUGACCCAAAAAUCCACAUUCUUAAAAGUCAUUUUGGCCACUGCAGGAGUACAGAGUACUGCAGUUCUAGGGGGCGCCAAAGAUGACCCAAAAAUCCACAUUCUUAAAAGUCUUUUUGGCCACUGCAGGAGUACAGAGUACUGCCGGACACACACACAUAUACACACACGCCAACACACACACACACACACACACACACACACACACACACACACACACACACACACUCAGAGUCUGUUUUUUAGCACCUGCAAAAACAUGCUGUUUACAUAUUUGACAAAAAUGCAGAGGCUUCCUUUUGCCCCUGAAAAAAAUCAAAUUUCAAACACAACUUGACUGUUCAUUUCUCCAAAAGACAACCAUGAAGCUCCAUCCAAACCUGAAGCAGAUAGUUGGUGCAUGUGUACAGUAACCUGAGGAGAGUGAGGUGACUACUUCUGAGGAGAACAUGAGCAGUGAAGAUUCACCUUGGAGCUAGAACAGGGACGUGCACAUGAUUAUACAGGGGCAGGGGCUCAAGUUUUUUCCAGUCAUUUAUACAAUAUGGAAAUUAAUGUGAAAUUAAACCACAAAUAUGUGUGAUGAACUGUUUUUAAAACUUAAACUUCAAAUAAAAAUUGUAAACUUCAAAACAUAUGCAAAUUUUUAACAAAGAACAUAGUAAUUUACCUCUAUUUACAUCAAAAUGCAGGCAAUGGCCCAGGCGUUCUUUGUAAAAUUAUUUACAAAACACUGUAUAGUCUCACAAAUGUCACUUUUUAUUUAUGCCACUACAAAAAAACAUGAUGCAAAUGAUGCAUGAUGUAAAACAUGAUGUAAAAAACUUGUGUAGAUCCUCCUCUAUGUCAGUCCAUGUGUAAUUUUUCCAUAAUUCUUUGUUUUUUGCAGCAUUUUUGUUAGUGUAACUGCAGAUUGUGCUGACAGUGUCUAUGGCAAAAAAAAAAAAAAACUGAAAAUGCCUCAACAUGAACUCCUGGUGGUCUCUGAGGGUGAAACCUGCUAACUGCUGCAGCUCUCUCAGCUCUAGUCUCCCAUGCAGAGCUCGGAGCGCAUGUGUGGCUCUGCACCCUUAGCAGCGUUGCUAACUCCUCAGUAAGGAAAGCCUGCUUCAUGUCAGAGUCUCUAAACUCCAGAGGAAGUCGAUAAAAUUCCCUUUCUUUCUAAAAAAAGUCGUUAGGGGGUCUGAAAAGUCAUUGAAUCUAACAACAAAGUCGCUAGGUUUGCAACUACGUUUCCCAGACUGCAUCCCUGCUGAGAGUUCCUCCCUCCCUUCUCAUAUUGCAGGAAGAACGUAAGCGCCCGCCCCUUGUCAAUCAGUCACCAUAUAAUUUUGGAUUGGUUGUUGUGGUGAAGUUUUCCACCAAUAGGAGAGAUGUUGUGGUGUGUUUUUUUUUCUUUUGGCAUGCCUUUUCCGCCUGUAAGAGCUGUCGCUAAUGUCUGCAUGCUAUGUUUUCCUGUCUCAUACAGCGUGAUCGAGCGCCGAACGUGAUCAAAAUAAGCAGAAAAAAAGUAUCGCGGACAUAAUUUAUCAUAACUCUGGUUUUAUUUGGCCUAUCAACACAAUUUAAAAAACUGGUAUAUAGUUUGAGGUCCUCACUUUUGAGAUAAGUUGAAACGGAGGGUGAACGAGGCUCCGUCUUGCAGCUACAUCCGGUUAAAUAUGUCAUGUGACUUGAACGCUGGGGAGCGUCAAUCGACUGCAGAGCCAGCAGACAAAGUAGUUAUGCCACUGAGAGGCACACAUUUGUCAUAUGCUAUAAUCCUAACAUAUUUUAAUGCUUUUUCUAUUUAAACCUAAUGGAUCUAAGGUUUGACCUUCAAAAUUUAGGAAGAAUAUGUUUUUGCAGUAAUGACCCCCUUAAACAACCAGAGGUCCUUUCCUAAAGUUUAUGGAAAUUUUAGUGAAGGCCUUGGUUUCUUUCCUUGCAAAAUGUAUAGAAAUAAUAAAGCUAAAUACCAUAAAAUGGUCUUGGCGUAUUAGCAGUGAUAUAAAAUAGUGGUUUGAAUAUGAAUGAACAACAAAAAAAAACAUCAACAGAGCCUUUUUGAGUUGGGAUUCUUUCAUUAUCACACAAAAACAGACAUAGACAGACAUCUAAAGGGUAAGGGAAUGAUCAGCCCUCCUAACUCUCAGAUGAAUCUUCAAAAUUCACCGCAGAAAUAUGCUUAUUAUUCUUCUCAGAGUACUGCAAGAUAUAUACACACACACAGACACACACACACACACACACACACACACACACACACUCAGAGUCUGUUUUUUAGCACCUGCAAAAACAUGCUAUUUACAUAUUUGACAAGAAUGCAGAGGCUCCUUUUGCCCCUGAAAAAAAUCUAAUUUCAAACACAACUUGACUGCUCAUUUCUCCAAAAGACAACCAUGAAGCUCCAUCCAAACCUGAAGCAGGCAGUUGGUGCAGAACAGCAAACGCCGAUGAAGGAAAAGGGUCUUUGCAGUGAUGGGCGUUACCAAAGAGGGCGAUAGCCAGAGGACACAAAUGGGACGGGGAGGCAGCGCGUUGGGGGGGGGACGCGACACAGCUCGGGCCCGCCAGUGCCCCAACGGGGUCCUAGUUAGGGCCCGAGCGUAGCUGCUAAGCAGCUGCGAGAGCCCUCUUGUUCCUGUAGUUUCCUUCUUUUGUUAUUAUUAGGGCCCGAGCGUAGCUGCUAAGCAGCUGCGAGAGCCCUCUUGUUCCUGUAGUUUCCUUCUUUAGGGCCCGAGCCAGCUGCAGAGCAGCCGGGCGUAGGCCCUAUUAUUCCCCAAGUGGUUUUUCUUUGUUUCUUUCUUUCUUUCUUUCUUCUUUUUCCUCCCCUUUGAACUGGAAAAUGGCCCACUUCCCACUGGCGAAAACUCAUGAAAUUUGGCAGGACGACCGGGCCUGGUGAAAAAUUCGAUAUUCUGAAGUCGCCCAAACAAUAAAAUGCAAAAUGGCUCCAUAGCGCCCCCUAAGGUGGAAAUUCACACUAUUGACUGUCACGCCUGUACGCUUUGUCAUAUUGACACAAAAAUUGACACACACAUGUAUCUCAAUAAGAUCUACAAAAAAGUCAGUGCGGGCGUAUCUGUCAAAUGUACGGUUAAAGGGUUAUUUCGCAUUUUUUGCCGAUCCGCACACAUUGGAAUUUCGCUAACUCCUCCGAAGGCUUUCGUUCCACCGGCACAACAUUUGCUCAGGCCAAUCUACACCCCGUGGCCAUUAAAAGUUAUCAAAAUCAUGACGCUGCACCCCAAGGUUUAGGUUCUAGGGGGCGCCAAAGAUAACACUAAAAUCCACAUAUUUAAAAGUCUUAUAACUUUUUAUUUUUGUCCUCACUGGCCUCCAAGUUUUCUAGGAUGAUGCAAUGUCCAGCCAUCAACACAUUUGUGAAGGAAUUUUUACUCCCCAAAACAGCGCCCCCCCCCAUGGCAGGACAAAAAAGUCAAUUUUUUCUUGUCCCCUAAGGUGAAAAUACACACUAUUGACUGUCACGCCUGUACGCUUUGUCAAAAUGACACAAAAAUUGACACACACAUGUAUCUCAAUAAGAUCUACAAAAAAGUCAGUGCGGGCGUAUCUGUCAAAUGUACGGUUAAAGGGUUAUUGCGCAUUUUUUGCCGAUCCGCACACAUUGGAAUUUCGCUAACUCCUCCGAAGGCUUUCGUUCCACCGGCACCACAUUUGCUCAGGCCAAUCUACACCCCAUGGCCAUUAAAAGUUAUUCAAAUCAUGACGCUGCACCCCACGGUUUAGGUUCUAGGGGGCGCCAAAAUAACCCUAAAAUCCACAUAUUUAAAAGUCUUAUAACUUUUUAUUUUUGCCCUCACUGGCCUCCAAGUUUUCUAGGAUGAUGCAAUGUCCAGCCAUCAACACAUUUGUGAAGGAAUUUUUACUCCCCAAAAGAGCGCCCCCCCAUGGCAGGAGAAAAAAGUCCAUUUUUACUUGUCCCCUACGGUGAAAAUACACAUUGUUUAGUGUCACGCCUGUACGCUUAGGCAAAAUGACACAAAAAUUGACACACACAUGUAUCUUAAUAAGAUCUACGAAAAAGUCAAUGCGCACGUAUCUGUCAAAUGUACGGUUAAAGGGUUAUUCCGCAUUUUUUGCCGAUCCGCACACAUUGGAAUGUGGCUAACUUCUCCUAAGGCUUUCGUUCCACUGGCACCACAUUUGCUCAGGCCAAUCUACACCCCAUGGCCAUUAAAAGUUAUUCAAAUCAUGACGCUGCACCCCACGGUUUAGGUUCUAGGGGGCGCCAAAAAUAACCCUAAAAUCCACAUAUUUAAAAGUCUUAUAACUUUUUAUUUUUGUCCUCACUGGCCUCCAAGUUUUCUAGGAUGAUGCAAUGUCCAGCCAUCAACACAUUUGUGAAGGAAUUUUUACUCCCCAAAAGAGCGCCCCCCCAUGGCAGGAGAAAAAAGUCCAUUUUUUCUUGUCCCCUAAGGUGAAAAUACACAUUGUUUAGUGUCACGCCUGUACGCUUUGGCAAAAUGACACAAAAAUUGACACACACAUGUAUCUCAAUAAGAUCUACAAAAAAGUCAGUGCGGGCGUAUCUGUCAAAUGUACGGUUAAAGGGUUAUUGCGCAUUUUUUGCCGAUCCGCACACAUUGGAAUUUCGCUAACUCCUCCUAAGGCUUUCGUUCCACCGGCACCACAUUUGCUCAGGCCAAUCUACACCCCAUGGCCAUUAAAAGUUAUUCAAAUCAUGACGCUGCACCCCACGGUUUAGGUUCUAGGGGGCGCCAAAAAUAACCCUAAAAUCCACAUAUUUAAAAGUCUUAUAACUUUUUAUUUUUGCCCUCACUGGCCUCCAAGUUUUCUAGGAUGAUGCAAUGUCCAGCCAUCAACACAUUUGUGAAGGAAUUUUUACUCCCCAAAAGAGCGCCCCCCCAUGGCAGGAGAAAAAGUCAAGUUUUUCCUGCCCAUCGCUCAAUGGCUCAAACGCAUCGCUCUCUCGGCAAAACCGAAAGGAGGAGCAACUUGCCAUUUGGAUAUAUACUAGCUGUGUUUGUGCCCUCACUCAUGGUCCAGACUUUUUUCAAAAAGGACAUGGAGUUUGUCUGCAGCGAGCGUUUUGGUAGAAACUGCGCCUCCCAUUCAUUAUAAUGGUAAAUGACCACAGACAAGUGCGCGCACCAUCUUUGGACCUUGAGUGUGACGCAAUCGGGAGGGGUAGGCAGUCGCGCUGGGGGCAGCGCGACACGGCUCGGGCCCGCCAGUGCCCCACCGGGGCCCUAGUUUGUUAUUAUUAUUUUUCCUCCCCUUUGAACUGGAAAAUGGCCCACUUCCCACUGGCGAAAACUCAGGAAAUUUGGCAGGACGACCGGGCCUGGUGAAAAAUUUGAUAUUCCGAAGUCGCCCAAACAAGAAAAUGCAAAAUGGCUCCAUAGCGCCCCCUAAGGUGAAAAUUCACACUAUUGACUGUCACGCCUGUACGCUUUGUCAAAAUGACACAAAAAUUGACACACACAUGUAUCUCAAUAAGAUCUACAAAAAAGUCAGUGCGGGCGUAUCUGUCAAAUGUACGGUUAAAGGGUUAUUUCGCAUUUUUUGCCGAUCCGCACACAUUGGAAUUUCGCUAACUCCUCCGAAGGCUUUCGUUCCACCGGCACCACAUUUGCUCAGGCCAAUCUACACCCCAUGGCCAUUAAAAGUUAUUCAAAUCAUGACGCUGCACCCCACGGUUUAGGUUCUAGGGGGCGCCAAAGAUAACCCUAAGAUCCACAUAUUUAAAAGUCUUAUAACUUUUUAUUUUUGCCCUCACUGGCCUCCAAGUUUUCUAGGAUGAUGCAAUGUCCAGCCAUCAACACAUUUGUGAAGGAAUUUUUACUCCCCAAAAGAGCGCCCCCCCAUGGCAGGAGAAAAAAGUCCAUUUUUUCUUGUCCCCUAAGGUGAAAAUACACAUUGUUGAGUGUAACACCUGUACGCUUUGGCAAAAUGACACAAAAAUUGACACACACAUGUAUCUCAAUAAGAUCUACGAAAAAGUCAAUGCGCGCGUAUCUGUCAAAUGUACGGUUAAAGGGUUAUUCCGCAUUUUUUGCCGAUCCGCACACAUUGGAAUUUCGCUAACUCCUCCGAAGGCUUUCGUUCCACCGGCACCACAUUUGCUCAGGCCAAUCUACACCCCAUGGCCAUUAAAAGUUAUUCAAAUCAUGACGCUGCACCCCACGGUUUAGGUUCUAGGGGGCGCCAAAGAUAACCCUAAAAUCCACAUAUUUAAAAGUCUUAUAACUUUUUAUUUUUGUCCUCACUGGCCUCCAAGUUUUCUAGGAUGAUGCAAUGUCCAGCCAUCAACACAUUUGUGAAGGAAUUUUUACUCCCCAAAAGAGCGCCCCCCCAUGGCAGGAGAAAAAAGUCCAUUUUUUCUUGUCCCCUAAGGUGGAAAUUCACACUAUUGACUGUCACGCCUGUACGCUUUAUCAUAUUGACACAAAAAUUGACACACACAUGUAUCUCAAUAAGAUCUACAAAAAAGUCAAUGCGCGCGUAUCUGUCAAAUGUACGGUUAAAGGGCUAUUUUGCAUUUUUUGCCGAUUCGCACACAUUGGAAUGUGGCUAACUCCUCCUAAGGCUUUCGUCCCACUGACACCAAAUUUGCUCAGGCCAAUCUACACCCCAUGGCCAUUCAAAGUUGUAAAAAUCAUGACGCUGCACCCCACGGUUUACGUUCUAGGGGGCGCCAAAGAUGACCCAAAAAUCCACAUUCUUAAAGGAAUCCACAUCCCCCCCCAAGGCAGGAGAAAAAGUCAAGUUAACCCUGCCCAUCGCUCAAUGGCUCAAUCGCAUCGCUCUCCAGGCAACACCGUAAGGAGGAGCAACCUGCCAUUUCGAUAUAUCAUAGCUGUGUUUGUGCCCUCACUCAUGGUCCAGACUUUUUUCAAAUAGGACAUGAAGUUUGUCUGCAGCGAGUGUUUUGGUAGAAACUGCGCCUCCCAUUCAUUAUAAUGGGAAAUGACCACAGACAAGUGCGCACACCAUCUUUGGACCUUGAGUGUGACGCGAUCGGGAGGGGGAGGCGGUCGCGCUAGGGGCGGCGCGACGCGGCUCGGGCCCGACAGUGCCCCACCGGGGCCCUAGUUAGGGCCCGAGCGUAGCUGCUAAGCAGCUGCGAGAGCCCUCUUGUUCCUGUAGUUUCCUUCUUUUGUUAUUAGGGCCCGAGCCAGCUGCAGAGCAGCCGGGCGUAGGCCCUGUUAUUCCUGUAGGGGUUUUUCUUUGUUUCUUUCUUUCUUCUUUUUCCUCCCCUUUGAACUGGAAAAUGGCCCACUUCCCACUGGCGAAAACUCAUGAAAUUUGGCAGGACGACCGGGCCUGGUGAAAAAUUCGAUAUUCUGAAGUCGCCCAAACAAUAAAAUGCAAAAUGGCUCCAUAGCGCCCCCUAAGGUGGAAAUUCACACUAUUGACUGUCACGCCUGUACGCUUUGUCAUAUUGACACAAAAAUUGACACACAUAUGUAUCUCAAUAAGAUCUACAAAAAAGUCAGUGCGGCCGUAUCUGUCAAAAUUACGGUUAAAGGGUUAUUUCGCAUUUUUUGCCGAUCCGCACACAUUGGAAUUUCGCUAACUCCUCCGAAGGCUUUCGUUCCACCGGCACCACAUUUGCUCAGGCCAAUCUACACCCCGUGGCCAUUAAAAGUUAUCAAAAUCAUGACGCUGCACCCCAAGGUUUAGGUUCUAGGGGGCGCCAAAGAUAACACUAAAAUCCACAUAUUUAAAAGUCUUAUAACUUUUUAUUUUUGUCCUCACUGGCCUCCAAGUUUUCUAGGAUGAUGCAAUGUCCAGCCAUCAACACAUUUGUGAAGGAAUUUUUACUCCCCAAAAGAGCGCCCCCCCAUGGCAGGAGAAAAAAGUCCAUUUUUUCUUGUCCCCUAAGGUGAAAAUACACAUUGUUGAGUGUCACGCCUAUACGCUUUGUCAAAAUGACACAAAAAUUGACACACAGAUGUAACUCAAUAAGAUCUACAAAAAAGUCCAUGCGCGCGUAUCUGUCAAAUGUACAGUUAAAGAGUUAUUCCGCAUUUUUUGCCGAUACGCACACAUUGGAAUUUCGCUAACUCCUCCGAAGGCUUUCGUUCCACCGGCACCACAUUUGCUCAGGCCAAUCUACACCCCAUGGCCAUUAAAAGUUAUUCAAAUCAUGAUGCUGCACCCCAUGGUUUAGGUUCUAGGGGGCGCCAAAAAUAACCCAAAAAUCCACAUUCUUAAAUGUUUUAUAACUUUUUAUUUUUGUCCUCACUGGCCUCCAAGUUUUCUAGGAUGAUGCAAUGUCCAGCCAUCAACACAUUUGUGAAGGAAUUUUUACUCCCCAAAAGAGCGCCCCCCCAUGGUAGGAGAAAAAAGUCAAUUUUUUCUUGUCCCCUUACAUAAAAAUACACAUUGUUGAGUGUCACGCCUGAACGCUUUGUCAUAUUGACACAAAAAUUGACAAUCAUGUGUAUCUCAAUUAGAUCUACGAAAAAGUCAAAGAGCGCGUAUCUGUAUAAUGUACGGUUAAAGGGCUAUUUUGCAUUUUUUGCCGAUUCGCACACAUUGGAAUGUGGCUAUCUCCUCCUAAGGCUUUCGUCCCACCGAUACCAAAUUUGCUCAGGGCAAUCUACACCCCAUGCCCAUUCAAAGUUGUAAAAAUCAUGACGCUGCACCCCACGGUUUACGUUCUAGGGGGCGCCAAAGAUGACCCAAAAAUCCACAUUCUUAAAAGUCAUUUUGGCCACUGCAGGAGUACAGAGUACUGCAGUUCUAGGGGGCGCCAAAGAUGACCCAAAAAUCCACAUUCUUAAAAGUCUUUUUGGCCACUGCAGGAGUACAGAGUACUGCAGGAUACACACACAUAUACACACACGCCAACAUACACACACACACACACACACACACACACACACAGACACACACACACACUCAGAGUCUGUUUUUUAGCACCUGCAAAAACAUGCUGUUUACAUAUUUGACAAGAAUGCAGAGGCUUCCUUUUGCCCCUGAAAAAAAUCAAAUUUCAAACACAACUUGACUGUUCAUUUCUCCAAAAGACAACCAUGAAGCUCCAUUUCAAACCUGAAGCAGAUAGUUGGUGCAUGUGUACAGUAACCUGAGGGGAGUGAGGUGACUAUUUCUGAGGAGAACAUGAGCAGUGAAGAUUCACCUUGGAGCUAGAACAGGGACGUGCACAUGAUUAUACAGGGGCAGGGGCUCAAGUUUUUUCCAGUCAUUUAUACAAUAUGGAAAUUAAUGUGAAAUUAAACCACAAAUAUGUGUGAUGAACUGUUUUUAAAACUUAAACUUCAAAUAAAAAUUGUAAACUUCAAAACAUAUGCAAAUUUUUAACAAAGAACAUAGUAAUUUACCUCUAUUUACAUCAAAAUGCAGGCAAUGGCCCAGGCGUUCUUUGUAAAAUUAUUUACAAAACACUGUAUAGUCUCACAAAUGUCACUUUUUAUUUAUGCCACUACAAAAAAACAUGAUGUAAAUGAUGCAUGAUGUAAAACAUGAUGUAAAAAACUUGUGUAGAUCCUCCUCUAUGUCAGUCCAUGUGUAAUUUUUCCAUAAUUCUUUGUUUUUUGCAGCAUUUUUGUUAGUGUAACUGCAGAUUGUGCUGACAGUGUCUAUGGCACAAAAAAAAAAAAAAUUAAAAUGCCUCAACAUGAACCCCUGGUGGUCUCUGAGGGUGAAACCUGCUAACUGCUGCAGCUCUGUCAGCUUCAGUCUCCCAUGCAGAGCUCUGAGUGCAUGUGUGGCUCUGCACCCUUAGCAGCGUUGCUAACUCCUCAGUAAGGAAAGCCUGCUUCAUGUCAGAGUCUCUAAACUCCAGAAGAAGUCGAUAAAAGUCACUUUCUUUCUAAAAAAAAAGUCGUUAGGGGGUCUGAAAAGUCAUUGAAUCUAACAACAAAGUCGCUAGGUUUGCAACUACGUGUCCCAGACUGCAUCCCUGCUGAGAGUCCCCUCCUCCCUUCUCAUGUUGCAGGAAGAAUGUAAGCGCCCGCCCCUUGUCAAUCAGUCACCAUAUAAUUUUGGAUUGGUUGUUGUGGUGAAGUUUUCCACCAAUAGGAGAGAUGUUGUGGUGUGUUUUUUUUUUCCUUUGGCAAGCCUUUUCCGCCUGUAAGACCUGUCGCUAAUGUCUGCAUGCUAUGUUUUCCUGUCUCAUACAGCGCGAUCGAGCGCCGAACGUGAUCAAAAUAAGCAGAAAAAAAGUAUCGCGGACAUAAUUUAUCAUAACUCUGGUUUUAUUUGGCCUAUCAACACAAUUUAAAAACUGGUAUAUAGGUUGAGGUCCUCACUUUUGAGAUAAGUUGAAACGGAGAGUCAACGAGGCUCCGUCUUGCAGCUACAUCCGGUUAAAUAUGUCAUGUGAUUUGAACGCACACAUAGACACACACACACGCACACACACACACACACACACACACACACACACACACACACACACACACACACUCAGAGUCUGGUUUUUAGCACCUGCAAAAACAUGCUAUUUACAUAUUUGACAAGAAUGCAGAGGCUCCUUUUGCCCCUGAAAAAAAUGAAAUUUCAAACACAACUUGACUGGUCAUUUCUCCAAAAGACAACCAUGAAGCUCCAUCCAAACCUGAAGCAGGCAGUUGGUGCAUGUGUACAGUAACCUGAGGGGAGUGAGGUGAGUGCUUCUGAGGAGAACAUGAGCAGUGAAGAUUCACCUUGGAGCUAGAACAGAGACAUGCACAUGAUUAUACAGGGGCAGGGGCUCAAGUUUUUUCCAGUCGUUUAUACAAUAUGGAAAUUAAUGUGAAAUUAAAACACAAAGUAUUAAUAGAAAGGUAAUGACUGUCCUGUGUAGGUGACAGUGAUAUCCAAUAGGCUAGGCACUCACGAGGCUGGCUGUGGCAAGUGUAAGUGAAAGCAACACGCACUGGCAGGAAGAACAGCAAACGCCGAUGAAGGAAAAGGGUCUUUGCAGUGAUGGGCGUUACCAGAGAGGGCGAUGGCCAGAGGACACAAAUGGGACGGGGAGGCAGCACGUUGGGGGGGGGGGGGGGGGAGACGCGACACGGCUCGGGCCCGCCAGUGCCCCAACGGGGUCCUAGUUAUUAUUAUUAUUUUUCCUCCCCUUUGAACUGGAAAAUGGCCCACUUCCCACUGGCGAAAACUCAUGAAAUUUGGCAGUACGACCGGGCCUGGUGAAAAAUUUGAUAUUCCGAAGUCGCCCAAACAAGAAAAUGCAAAAUGGCUCCAUAGCGCCCCCUAAGGUGAAAAUUCACACUAUUCACUGUCACGCCGGUACGCUUUGUCAAAAUGACACAAAAAUUGACACACACAUGUAUCUCAAUAAGAUCUACAAAAAAGUCAGUGCAGGCGUAUCUGUCAAAUGUACGGUUAAAGGGUUAUUUCGCAUUUUUUGCCGAUCCGCACACAUUGGAAUUUCGCUAACUCCUCCGAAGGCUUUCGUUCCACCGGCACCACAUUUGCUCAGGCCAAUCUACACCCCAUGGCCAUUAAAAGUUAUUCAAAUCAUGACGCUGCACCCCACGGUUUAGGUUCUAGGGGGCGCCAAAGAUAACCCUAAGAUCCACAUAUUUAAAAGUCUUAUAACUUUUUAUUUUUGCCCUCACUGGCCUCCAAGUUUUCUAGGAUGAUGCAAUGUCCAGCCAUCAACACAUUUGUGAAGGAAUUUUUACUCCCCAAAAGAGCGCCCCCCCAUGGCAGGAGAAAAAAGUCCAUUUUUUCUUGUCCCCUAAGGUGAAAAUACACAUUGUUGAGUGUAACACCUGUACGCUUUGGCAAAAUGACACAAAAAUUGACACACACAUGUAUCUCAAUAAGAUCUACGAAAAAGUCAAUGCGCGCGUAUCUGUCAAAUGUACGGUUAAAGGGUUAUUCCGCAUUUUUUGCCGAUCCGCACACAUUGGAAUUUCGCUAACUCCUCCGAAGGCUUUCGUUCCACCGGCACCACAUUUGCUCAGGCCAAUCUACACCCCAUGGCCAUUAAAAGUUAUUCAAAUCAUGACGCUGCACCCCACGGUUUAGGUUCUAGGGGGAGCCAAAGAUAACCGUAAAAUCCACAUAUUUAAAAGUCUUAUAACUUUUUAUUUUUGUCCCCACUGGCCUCCAAGUUUUCUAGGAUGAUGCAAUGUCCAGCCAUCAACACAUUUGUGAAGGAAUUUUUACUCGCCAAAAGAGCGCCCCCCCAUGGCAGGAGAAAAAAGUCAAUUUUUUCUUGUCCACUAAGGUGAAAAUACACAUUGUUGAGUGCUACGCCUGUAUGUUUUGUCGUAUUGACACAAAAUUUUACAUACACGUGUCUUUCAAUAAGAUCUUCGAAAAAGUCAAUGGCCACGUAUCUGUAAAAUGUACGGUUAAAGGGUUAUUUCGCAUUUUUUGCAGAUUCGCACACAUUGGAAUUUCGCUAACUCCUCCGAAGGCUUUCGUUCCACCGGCACCACAUUUGCUCAGGCCAAUCUACACCCCAUGGCCAUUAAAAGUUAUUCAAAUCAUGACGCUGCACCCCACGGUUUAGAUUCUAGGGGGCGCCAAAGAUAACCCUAAAAUCCACAUAUUUAAAAGUCUUAUAACUUUUUAUUUUUGUCCUCACUGGCCUCCAUGUUUUCUAGGAUGAUGCAAUGUCCAGCCAUCAACACAUUUGUGAAGGAGUUUUUUCUCGUUAAAAGAGCGCCCCCCCCGGCAGGAGAAUAAAGUCAAGUUUUUCCUGUUCAUCAUUCAAUGGCUCAAACGCACUGCUCUCUCGGCAAAAGCGAAAGGAGGAGCAACUUGCCAUUUGGAUAUAUCUUAGCUGUGUUUGUGCCCUCACUCAUGGUCCAGACUUUUUUCAAAUAGGACAUGGAGUUUUUCUGCAGCGAGCGUUUUGGUAGAAACUGCGCCUCCCGUUCAUUAUAAUGGUAAAUGACCACAAACAAGUGCGCACACCAUCUUUGGACCUUGAGUGUGACGCGAUCGGGUGGGGGAGGCGGUCGCGCUGGGGGCGGCGUGACACGGCUCGGGCCCGCCAGUGCCCCAACGGGGCCCUAGUUCUUCUUUUUCCUCCCCUUUGAACUGGAAAAUGGCCCACUUCCCACUGGCGAAAACUCAUGAAAUUUGGCAGGACGACCGGGCCUGGUGAAAAAUUCGAUAUUCUGAAGUCGCCCAAACAAUAAAAUGCAAAAUGGCUCCAUAGCGCCCCCUAAGGUGGAAAUUCACACUAUUGACUGUCACGUCUGUACGCUUUGUCAUAUUGACACAAAAAUUGACACACAUAUGUAUCUCAAUAAGAUCUACAAAAAAGUCAGUGCGGCCGUAUCUGUCAAAAUUACGGUUAAAGGGUUAUUUCGCAUUUUUUGCCGAUCCGCACACAUUGGAAUUUCGCUAACUCCUCCGAAGGCUUUCGUUCCACCGGCACCACAUUUGCUCAGGCCAAUCUACACCCCGUGGCCAUUAAAAGUUAUCAAAAUCAUGACGCUGCACCCCAAGGUUUAGGUUCUAGGGGGCGCCAAAGAUAACACUAAAAUCCACAUAUUUAAAAGUCUUAUAACUUUUUAUUUUUGUCCUCACUGGCCUCCAAGUUUUCUAGGAUGAUGCAAUGUCCAGCCAUCAACACAUUUGUGAAGGAAUUUUUACUCCCCAAAAGAGCGCCCCCCAUGGCAGGAGAAAAAAGUCCAUUUUUUCUUGUCCCCUAAGGUGAAAAUACACAUUGUUGAGUGUCAAGCCUAUACGCUUUGUCAAAAUGACACAAAAUUUGACACACACAUGUAACUCAAUAAGAUCUACAAAAAAGUCCAUGCGCGCGUAUCUGUCAAAUGUACAGUUAAAGGGUUAAUCCGCAUUUUUUGCCGAUACGCACACAUUGGAAUUUCGCUAACUCCUCCGAAGGCUUUCGUUCCACCGGCACCACAUUUGCUCAGGCCAAUCUACACCCCAUGGCCAUUAAAAGUUAUUCAAAUCAUGAUGCUGCACCCCAUGGUUUAGGUUCUAGGGGGCGCCAAAAAUAACCCAAAAAUCCACAUUCUUAAAUGUUUUAUAACUUUUUAUUUUUGUCCUCACUGGCCUCCAAGUUUUCUAGGAUGAUGCAAUGUCCAGCCAUCAACACAUUUGUGAAGGAAUUUUUACUCCCCAAAAGAGCGCCCCCCCAUGGUAGGAGAAAAAAGUCAAUUUUUUCUUGUCCCCUUACAUAAAAAUACACAUUGUUGAGUGUCACGCCUGAACGCUUUGUCAUAUUGACACAAAAAUUGACAAUCAUGUGUAUCUCAAUUAGAUCUACGAAAAAGUCAAAGAGCGCGUAUCUGUAUAAUGUACGGUUAAAGGGCUAUUUUGCAUUUUUUGCCGAUUCGCACACAUUGGAAUGUGGCUAUCUCCUCCUAAGGCUUUCGUCCCACCGAUACCAAAUUUGCUCAGGGCAAUCUACACCCCAUGCCCAUUCAAAGUUGUAAAAAUCAUGACGCUGCACCCCACGGUUUACGUUCUAGGGGGCGCCAAAGAUGACCCAAAAAUCCACAUUCUUAAAAGUCAUUUUGGCCACUGCAGGAGUACAGAGUACUGCAGUUCUAGGGGGCGCCAAAGAUGACCCAAAAAUCCACAUUCUUAAAAGUCUUUUUGGCCACUGCAGGAGUACAGAGUACUGCAGGAUACACACACAUAUACACACACGCCAACAUACACACACACACACACACACACACACACACACACACACAGACACACACCCACACUCAGAGUCUGGUUUUUAGCACCUGCAAAAACAUGCUGUUUACAUAUUUGACAAGAAUGCAGAGGCUUCCUUUUGCCCCUGAAAAAAAUCAAAUUUCAAACACAACUUGACUGUUCAUUUCUCCAAAAGACAACCAUGAAGCUCCAUUUCAAACCUGAAGCAGAUAGUUGGUGCAUGUGUACAGUAACCUGAGGGGAGUGAGGUGACUAUUUCUGAGGAGAACAUGAGCAGUGAAGAUUCACCUUGGAGCUAGAACAGGGACGUGCACAUGAUUAUACAGGGGCAGGGGCUCAAGUUUUUUCCAGUCAUUUAUACAAUAUGGAAAUUAAUGUGAAAUUAAACUACAAAUAUGUGUGAUGAACUGUUUUUAAAACUUAAACUUCAAAUAAAAAUUGUAAACUUCAAAACAUAUGCAAAUUUUUAACAAAGAACAUAGUAAUUUACCUCUAUUUACAUCAAAAUGCAGGCAAUGGCCCAGGCGUUCUUUGUAAAAUUAUUUACAAAACACUGUAUAGUCUCACAAAUGUCACUUUUUAUUUAUGCCACUACAAAAAAACAUGAUGUAAAUGAUGCAUGAUGUAAAACAUGAUGUAAAAAACUUGUGUAGAUCCUCCUCUAUGUCAGUCCAUGUGUAAUUUUUCCAUAAUUCUUUGUUUUUUGCAGCAUUUUUGUUAGUGUAACUGCAGAUUGUGCUGACAGUGUCUAUGGCACAAAAAAAAAAAAAAUUUUUUAAUGCCUCAACAUGAACCCGUGGUGGUCUCUGAGGGUGAAACCUGCUAACUGCUGCAGCUCUGUCAGCUUCAGUCUCCCAUGCAGAGCUCUGAGCGCAUGUGUGGCUCUGCACCCUUAGCAGCGUUGCUAACUCCUCAGUAUGGAAAGCCUGCUUCAUGUCAGAGUCUCUAAACUCCAGAAGAAGUCGAUAAAAGUCCCUUUCUUUCUAAAAAAAAGUCGUUAGGGGGUCUGAAAAGUCAUUGAAUCUAACAACAAAGUCGCUAGGUUUGCAACUACGUGUCCCAGACUGCAUCCCUGCUGAGAGUCCCUCCCUCCCUUCUCAUGUUGCAGGAAGAACGUAAGCGCCCCCCUUGUCAAUCAGUCACCAUAUAAUUUUGGAUUGGUUGUUGUGGUGAAGUUUUCCACCAAUAGGAGAGAUGUUGUGGUGUGUUUUUUUUUUCUUUUGGCAAGCCUUUUCCGCCUGUAAGAACUGUCGCUAAUGUCUGCAUGCUAUGUUUUCCUGUCUCAUACAGCGCGAUCGAGCGCCGAACGUGAUCAAAAUAAGCAGAAAAAAAAUAUCGCGGACAUAAUUUAUCAUAACUCUGGUUUUAUUUGGCCUAUCAACACAAUUUAAAAACUGGUAUAUAGGUUGAGGUCCUCACUUUUGAGAUAAGUUGAAACGGAGAGUCAACGAGGCUCCGUCUUGCAGCUACAUCCGGUUAAAUAUGUCAUGUGACUUGAACGCACACACAGACACACACACACACACACACACACACACACACACACACACACACACACACACACUCAGAGUCUGGUUUUUAGCACCUGCAAAAACAUGCUAUUUACAUAUUUGACAAGAAUGCAGAGGCUCCUUUUGCCCCUGAAAAAAAUCAAAUUUCAAACACAACUUGACUGGUCAUUUCUCCAAAAGACAACCAUGAAGCUCCAUCCAAACCUGAAGCAGGCAGUUGGUGCAUGUGUACAGUAACCUGAGGGGAGUGAGGUGAGUGCUUCUGAGGAGAACAUGAGCAGUGAAGAUUCACCUUGGAGCUAGAACAGAGACAUGCACAUGAUUAUACAGGGGCAGGGGCUCAAGUUUUUUCCAGUCGUUUAUACAAUAUGGAAAUUAAUGUGAAAUUAAAACACAAAGUAUUAAUAGAAAGGUAAUGACUGUCCUGUGUAGGUGACAGUGAUAUCCAAUAGGCUAGGCACUCACGAGGCUGGCUGUGGCAAGUGUAAGUGAAAGCAACACGCACUGGCAGGAAGAACAGCAAACGCCGAUGAAGGAAAAGGGUCUUUGCAGUGAUGGGCGUUACCAGAGAGGGCGAUGGCCAGAGGACACAAAUGGGACGGGGAGGCAGCACGUUGGGGGGGGGGGGGGGGGGGACGCGACACGGCUCGGGCCCGCCAGUGCCCCAACGGGGUCCUAGUUAGGGCCCGAGCGUAGCUGCUAAGCAGCUGCGAGAGCCCUCUUGUUCCUGUAGUUUCCUUCUUUUGUUAUUAGGGCCCGAGCGUAGCUGCUAAGCAGCUGCGAGAGCCCUAUUAUUCCCCAAGGGGUUUUUCUUUGUUUCUUUCUUUCUUCUUUUUCCUCCCCUUUGAACUGGAAAAUGGCCCACUUCCCACUGGCAAAAACUCAUGAAAUUUGGCAGGAUGACCGGGCCUGGUGAAAAAUUUGAUAUUCCGAAGUCGCCCAAACAAGAAAAUGCAAAAUGGCUCCAUAGCGCCCCCUAAGGUGAAAAUUCACACUAUUGACUGUCACGCCUUUACGCUUUGUCAAAAUGACACAAAAAUUGACAAACAUAUGUAUCUCAAUAAGAUCUACAAAAAAGUCAGUGCGGGCGUAUCUGUCAAAUGUACGGUUAAAGGGUUAUUCCGCAUUUUUUGCCGAUCCGCACACAUUGGAAUUUCGCUAACUCCUCCGAAGGCUUUCUUUCCACCGGCACCACAUUUGCUCAGGCCAAUCUACACCCCAUGGCCAUUAAAAGUUAUUCAAAUCAUGACGCUGCACCCCACGGUUUAGGUUCUAGGGGGCGCCAAAGAUAACCCUAAAAUCCACAUAUUUCAAAGUCUUAUAACUUUUUAUUUUUGCCCUCACUGGCCUCCAAGUUUUCUAGGAUGAUGCAAUGUCCAGCCAUUAACACAUUUGUGAAGGAAUUUUUACUCCCCAAAAGAGCGCCCCCCCAUGGCCGGAGAAAAAAGUCCAUUUUUUCUUGUCCCCUAAGGUGAAAAUACACAUUGUUGAGUGUCACGCCUGUACGCUUUGUCAUAUUGACACAAAAUUUGACACACACAUGUAUCUCAAUAAAAUCUACGAAAAAGUCAAUGCGCGCGUAUCUGUCAAAUGUACGGUUAAAGGGUUAUUCCGCAUUUUUUGCUGAUCCGCACACAUUGGAAUUUCGCUAACUCCUCCUAAGGCUGGCGUUCCACCGGCACCACAUUUGCUCAGGCCAAUCUACACCCCAUGGCCAUUAAAAGUUAUUCAAAUCAUGAUGCUGCACCCCACGGUUUAGGUUCUAGGGGGCGCCAAAGAUAACCCUAAAAUCCACAUAUUUCAAAGUCUUAUAACUUUUUAUUUUUGUCCUCACUGGCCUCCAAGUUUUCUAGGAUGAUGCAAUGUCCAGCCAUCAACACAUUUGUGAAGGAAUUUUUACUCCCCAAAAGAGCGCCCCCCCAUGGCAGGAGAAAAAAGUCAGUUUUUUCUUGUCCCGUAAGGUGAAAAUUCACAUUGUUGAGUGUGACACCUGUACGCUUUGUCAUAUUGACACAAAAUUUGACAAUCACGUGUAUCUCAAUAAGAUCUACGAAAAAGUCAAAGCGCGCGUAUCUGUCAAAUGUACGGUUAAAGGGUUAUUCCGCAUUUUUUGACGAUCCGCACACAUUGGAAUGUGGCUAACUCCUCCUAAGGCUUUCGUUCCACCGGCACCACAUUUGCUCAGGCCAAUCUACACCCCAUGGCCAUUAAAAGUUAUUCAAAUCAUGACGCUGCACCCCACGGUUUAGGUUCUAGGGGGCGCCAAAGAUAACCCUAAAAUCCACAUAUUUAAAAGUCUUAUAACUUUUUAUUUUUGUCCUCACUGGCCUCCAAGUUUUCUAGGAUGAUGCAAUGUCCAGCCAUCAACACAUUUGUGAAGGAAUUUUUACUCCCCAAAAGAGCGCCCCCCCAUGGCAGGAGAAAAAAGUCCAUUUUUUCUUGUCGCCUAAGGUGAAAAUUCACAUUGUUGAGUGUGACACCUGUACGCUUUGUCAUAUUGACACAAAAUUUGACAAUCACGUGUAUCUCAAUAAGAUCUACGAAAAAGUCAAUGCGCGCGUAUCUGUCAAAUGUACGGUUAAAGGGCUAUUUUGCAUUUUUUGCCGAUUCGCACACAUUGGAAUGUGGCUAACUCCUCCUAAGGCUUUCGUCCCACUGACACCAAAUUUGCUCAGGCCAAUCUACACCCCAUGGCCAUUCAAAGUUGUAAAAAUCAUGACGCUGCACCCCACGGCUCACGUUCUAGGGGGCGCCAAAGAUGACCAAAAAAUCCACAUUCUUAAAAG
Non-coding RNA from Xyrichtys novacula (pearly razorfish), 28047 nucleotides. NCBI's taxonomy places the organism in Eukaryota, Metazoa, Chordata, Actinopteri, Labriformes, Labridae. The record is from the annotation of a GenBank genome assembly.